Molecule: long non-coding RNA, 376 nt
Filed under: Homo sapiens (human)
Lineage: Eukaryota; Metazoa; Chordata; Mammalia; Primates; Hominidae
Description: HSALNT0202287
Source: RNAcentral
ACGGAGUUGUACCACUACUAUCAGGCCAAGAAAUAGAACAUUACCAGUACCCUGGAAAUGAGAUCCUGCUCCUCUAUGGUUAUUACACGCCUUUAAAGUUCACUUCAACUUCCUCUUCAGGAGAGAGGAGAGAAAUCAGCUGUCUUGGGGCCAGCUUUUAUUUCUGAUGAUUAUUGUCUCUUACCUGGUAUCCAGUCCUUUGGAAUGUAGAUCAUCUUUCUUAGCAGUCACUAUGUGGAGCUGGUAAAGAAGAAAAAGGUACCCUGUUAUUUCAGUGUUUGCCCCAAGUAAAGAUUCUCAGAUCACUGUUACAUGGGUAACUGACUUUUCCUUUCAUUUCCUCCAGCAGAGUAGAGACUAGGCAGUCAUUUUUAAA